UACGAAGGGGGCUAGCGUUGCUCGGAAUCACUGGGCGUAAAGGGUGCGUAGGCGGGUCUUUAAGUCAGGGGUGAAAUCCUGGAGCUCAACUCCAGAACUGCCUUUGAUACUGAGGAUCUUGAGUUCGGGAGAGGUGAGUGGAGCUGCGAGUGUAGAGGUGAAAUUCGUAGAUAUUCGGAAGAACACCAGUGGCGAAGGCGACUCACUGGACACGUAUUGACGCUGAGGUGCGAAAGCGUGGGGAGCAAACAGG
RNAcentral lists this ribosomal RNA (253 nucleotides) under uncultured bacterium. RNAcentral describes it as "partial 16S ribosomal RNA". It matches the Rfam family "Bacterial small subunit ribosomal RNA", at positions 524 to 776 of the family's 1533-position model. The record is from RNAcentral.